GACGAACGCUGGCGGCGCGCCUAAUACAUGCAAGUUGAGCGCUGAAGGUUGGUACUUGUACCGACUGGAUGAGCAGCGAACGGGUGAGUAACGCGUGGGGAAUCUGCCUUUGAGCGGGGGACAACAUUUGGAAACGAAUGCUAAUACCGCAUAAAAACUUUAAACACAAGUUUUAAGUUUGAAAGAUGCAAUUGCAUCACUCAAAGAUGAUCCCGCGUUGUAUUAGCUAGUUGGUGAGGUAAAGGCUCACCAAGGCGAUGAUACAUAGCCGACCUGAGAGGGUGAUCGGCCACAUUGGGACUGAGACACGGCCCAAACUCCUACGGGAGGCAGCAGUAGGGAAUCUUCGGCAAUGGACGAAAGUCUGACCGAGCAACGCCGCGUGAGUGAAGAAGGUUUUCGGAUCGUAAAACUCUGUUGGUAGAGAAGAACGUUGGUGAGAGCGGAAAGCUCAUCAAGUGACGGUAACUACCCAGAAAGGGACGGCUAACUACGUG
RNAcentral lists this ribosomal RNA (497 nucleotides) under uncultured bacterium. Its description in RNAcentral is "partial 16S ribosomal RNA". It matches the Rfam family "Bacterial small subunit ribosomal RNA", at positions 28 to 507 of the family's 1533-position model. The record is from RNAcentral.